This 386-nucleotide ribosomal RNA is filed under the name Trichoniscus cf. aphonicus abchasicus. RNAcentral describes it as "partial large subunit ribosomal RNA". The record is from RNAcentral. Lineage: Eukaryota; Metazoa; Arthropoda; Malacostraca; Isopoda; Trichoniscidae.
UCAUGUGAUCUGACUGUGGUAAGGUAGCAUAAUCACUCGUCUUUUCAUUGGAGUCUGGUAUAAAUGGUUAGACGAAGGAAUUAUAUUUUUAGGACGACUCAUCAUAAUUUUUUCUUAAAAGUUAAAAAACUUUUAUUCACUAGGGGGACGACAAGACCCUAAAAUCUGUCUUAUACUAGAGCCCAGGAAUAUUUACAAUAGAGGACUUGCUGGGGCGGUAAAUCUUAAAAACAAUUUAAAUAUCUGCGCCAUUAGCGAAUCUUUUUAACCUUUAAGUACAAAUAAUAAGAUACUUUAGGGAUAACAGCAUAAUUUUUCUAUAGAGCUCUUAUCGCUAGAAAAGAUUAUGACCUCGAUGUUGAAUUGAGAAAACUAAUAUAAGCAGC